RNAcentral lists this ribosomal RNA (468 nucleotides) under uncultured bacterium. RNAcentral describes it as "partial 16S ribosomal RNA". It matches the Rfam family "Bacterial small subunit ribosomal RNA", at positions 28 to 507 of the family's 1533-position model. The record is from RNAcentral.
GACGAACGCUGGCGGCGUGCUUAACACAUGCAAGUCGAACGGUGAAGCUCCAGCUUGCUGGAGUGGAUCAGUGGCGAACGGGUGAGUAACACGUGAGCAACCUGCCCCUGACUCUGGAAUAAGCGCUGGAAACGGCGUCUAAUACUGGAUACGAGAAGGGUCCGCAUGGGCACUUUCUGGAAAGUUUUUCGGUUGGGUAUGGGCUCGCGGCCUUUCAGCUUGUUGGUGAGGUAAUGGCUCACCAAGGCGACGACGGGUAGCCGGCCUGAGAGGGCGACCGGCCACACUGGGACUGAGACACGGCCCAGACUCCUACGGGAGGCAGCAGUGGGGAAUAUUGCACAAUGGGCGGAAGCCUGAUGCAGCGACGCCACGUGGGGGAUGACGGCCUUCGGGUUGUAAACCUCUUUCAGCAGGGAAGAAGCGAAAGUGACGGUACCUGCAGAAGAAGCACCGGCUAACUACGUG